GAUAUAGGCAAACUUGUUGAAAGGCAAGGACGCAAAGCCAUAAGGGGCUAAGGUAAGGGAGUUAUCUUGCUAUGCCAGCCGGCUGCAG
This 88-nucleotide non-coding RNA is filed under the name uncultured Anaerostipes sp. Its description in RNAcentral is "Cyclic di-GMP-I riboswitch". It matches the Rfam family "c-di-GMP-I riboswitch aptamer". Rfam says of the family: GEMM was predicted in a large-scale screen for bacterial structured RNA regulatory elements. Genes associated with GEMM are involved in a diverse array of functions, including chemotaxis regulation, signal transduction, secretion and chitin. The record is from RNAcentral. Lineage: Bacteria; Bacillati; Bacillota; Clostridia; Lachnospirales; Lachnospiraceae.